Molecule: ribosomal RNA, 116 nt
Filed under: Escherichia coli
Lineage: Bacteria; Pseudomonadati; Pseudomonadota; Gammaproteobacteria; Enterobacterales; Enterobacteriaceae
Also listed under: 1 other name
Source: RNAcentral
CCUGGCGGCCUUAGCGCGGUGGUCCCACCUGACCCCAUGCCGAACUCAGAAGUGAAACGCCGUAGCGCCGAUGGUAGUGUGGGGUUUCCCCAUGCGAGAGUAGGGAACUGCUAGGC